UUAAUACCAAAUUAGGCAAAUUUUUAGAUUCACAUUUUCAUAACACAAAAACAAAAAAAAAUAAUUUUAAUUCUACUUUCCUUUUAAAGCAGAAUUAAUCUAUAUGUGUGUUGUGCUCCCAACCAUGCAGAGCUCAUCAGUGGAUGAGAUUUCCUCUGACUACCAUUAUUUCGAUAUAUAUUAAGAGCUCCUUAUGAACAGCAAAUGAUCCAAGCAAUAUUUUGCAUAAGUAAGAAUGAGAAAGCACUCUCCCAAAUGUCUUCUAACAAAAUAAAUUACUGGAUAAAACUUAGUAAAUGCCAAGGGGCUGAUGUUUUCCUUUUUGUUUGUCUUUUUGUUUACAUUUCUAUUUUGGUCUAUGUCCCCAAUGCAAGAAAGUUCUUCAAAAGAUGUAUUUCUGAAGAGUUGUCAACAUAUUAAUAGAGGUGGCACUUCUCAAAUCAAGUGGGAAUCGGUUCUAUAUUUCAAGUGUAGAACAGGAAAAGGCUUGAAUUCCUUAAGGGCUCCAGACAACUGUUUAUUAAACUUUCACAGGCUACUUCACAAAACAGAAACAGAGGGCAGAUAUAAAGAAGUCUUGAAGAGAAAAACACCGAUGGCCAAAUUCUCCCUCAUUCCACACAAACAUGUGCAUGUACAUGCAGGUACAUAUCCCUUCCAGCCAAGGGCUGUUUUGAGGACGAAAUGUAGAGUGCUUCUUCAACCUUUAGUUCCAGUAAAAAUAAUUAUUAUUCAUUUCCUUCUCUCGUUCCUAUUUUUGAAAGAGAGCUAAUAGAAAUUGUCCUGGGGGUAAGUAGGUCUUCAAGUUUCUUUUUUUUUUUUUAAUAUCCAGAGGGCAAACACAAAAGUUGAUAAAAUGGUCACUUUUUACAAUCAAAUAAAAGUAUUGUGAAGUUAGGUAAUGGCUCA
Molecule: long non-coding RNA, 909 nt
Filed under: Monodelphis domestica (gray short-tailed opossum)
Lineage: Eukaryota; Metazoa; Chordata; Mammalia; Didelphimorphia; Didelphidae
Description: lncRNA (ENSMODG00000031261.2)
Source: RNAcentral